Small nuclear RNA from Mastomys coucha (southern multimammate mouse), 109 nucleotides. The record is from RefSeq and is a predicted model, not a curated record. Lineage: Eukaryota; Metazoa; Chordata; Mammalia; Rodentia; Muridae.
GUGCUAGCUUUGGCAGCAUAUAUAGUAAAAUUGUAACAUGAUAUAGAGAAGAUUAGCACGGUCCCUAUGUGAGGAUGAUAUGUAAAUUCAUGAAACCUUCCAUAUUUAA